UGAGGAAUUUUCUGCACUGGGCGAAAGCCUGAACAGAGCAAUACCGCGUGAGGGAUGAAGACUUACUGAGUUGUAAACCUCGGUACCUUAAGGAAGAAGAUCUGACGGUACUUAAGGUGGAAAGCAUCGGCUAACUCCGUGC
Molecule: ribosomal RNA, 142 nt
Filed under: uncultured bacterium
Lineage: Bacteria
Description: partial 16S ribosomal RNA
Rfam family: Bacterial small subunit ribosomal RNA
Source: RNAcentral